CCCUUUUGAAACUUGGCUAUGACUUUCUCAAACAUUUAUCCAAAACCUUAGAUAAAUUCUCCUUGUGCUCUUAAUUUCACUUCCAAAAUGUCAAGAAAAAUGGAAAGAAAGAGGAGAGAAAAAGAAAGAAGAAGAAAAUGAAAGAAAAGUAAAAGAAAAAUGAAAGAGAAAGAAAACCCAGCCAAAGAAACCCUAGAAUUGACUAACAAAAUGGUAUUUAAAUGGCCAAAAAUCAUCUAAGAAAAAAUUGUGAAAGAAGUCCCGAAAUUUACGCGAAAUAGACAAAAUUCACCCAAACGGAAGGCGACUACCGCGCGCCAUUAGAGGCUUUUGGCCUCGGGAGAUCACAAAGAGCCUCCCGUGCGAGCGCCAUAGUAAGCCUGCGUGCGAGCGCGGGCUUCCUUUAUUUCUUUUUCCAACUUAGUCCUCCAUUUAAUUGCACACAAUGCCCCUCAACAUUGAUAAUGUACAAUCUGAUCCUCAAAUUUUGAUUUCCAUAUCACUUUUGGCCUCCAAAAUUACUACCCCAGUUCCUUAAACUUUCGGCACUUUUGCAUUUUGGUCCCCAACUUCACAAUUUUGUACGCUUUUGCUCCCUUUUCACUUCCUUUUACCUUGUUAUCUUACCUUUUGGGGUUAAUGACCUACAAAAGCCAAAAUUACCCAGUUAUGAGUCGAUAUCCGCUCCUUUAAUCAAUAAUUAGCUUGUUAAAGUAUCUAAUAAGUGUGCGAAAACACAAUUAUCACAAGGAUCUUCUAAACAUUGGUACAGGUAAAUGAUUUUCAAUUUUAUCGGUUUUCUAUUAGAGGUGUCACUAAUGGG
This 823-nucleotide long non-coding RNA is filed under the name Olea europaea subsp. europaea. The record is from RNAcentral. Lineage: Eukaryota; Viridiplantae; Streptophyta; Magnoliopsida; Lamiales; Oleaceae.